Molecule: ribosomal RNA, 497 nt
Filed under: uncultured bacterium
Lineage: Bacteria
Description: partial 16S ribosomal RNA
Rfam family: Bacterial small subunit ribosomal RNA
Source: RNAcentral
GAUGAACGCUGGCGGCGUGCCUAAUACAUGCGAGUCGAGCGAAUGGACGAGAAGCUCGCUUCGCUGAUGUUAGCGGCGGACGAGUGAGUCACACGUGGAUAACCUACCUAUAAGCCUGAGAUAACUUCGUGAAACCGUAGCUAGUACCUGAUUAUAUUUUGAAACUCAUGGUUCAUCAGUCCACAACGGUCUUGCUGUCACUUAUUGAUAGAUCCGCGCUGCAUUAGCUAGUUCGUAGGGUAACGGCUUACCAAGGCAACUAUGCAUAUCUGACCUGAGAGGGUAAUCGGCCACACUGGAACUGAGACACGGUCAAGAAUACUACGGGAGGGAGCAGGAGGGAAUCUUCAGCAAUGGGCGAAAGCCUGACGCAGCAACGCCGCGUGUGAGAAGAAGGUGUUCGGAGUGUAAAGCUCUGUAAUUAGGGAGGAAGAUAAGUGAGUGUAAAAGUGUGCGGCUUGACGUUACCAAAACAGAAAGCAACGGCUAACUUCGUG